CUACGGGAGGCAGCAGUGGGGAAUAUUGGACAAUGGGGGAAACCCUGAUCCAGCAAUGCCGCGUGUGUGAAGAAGGCCUGCGGGUUGUAAAGCACUUUCGGUUGGGAGGACUGCUUCUAGCACUAAUAUUGUUGGAAGUUGACGUUACCUUCAGAAGAAGCACCGGCUAACUCCGUGCCAGCAGCCGCGGUAAUACGGGGGGUGCAAGCGUUAAUCGGAAUUACUGGGCGUAAAGCGCGCGUAGGCGGCUAGAUCAGUCGGGUGUGAAAGCCCCGGGCUUAACCUGGGAACUGCAUCCGGUACUGGCUAGCUUGAGUACAGGAGAGGAGAGUGGAAUUCCACAUGUAGCGGUGAAAUGCGUAGAUAUGUGGAGGAACACCAAUGGCGAAGGCAGCUCUCUGGCCUGAUACUGACGCUGAGGUGCGAAAGCGUGGGGAGCAAACAGGAUUAGAUACCCCUGUAGUC
Molecule: ribosomal RNA, 465 nt
Filed under: uncultured bacterium
Lineage: Bacteria
Description: partial 16S ribosomal RNA
Rfam family: Bacterial small subunit ribosomal RNA
Source: RNAcentral